This 484-nucleotide ribosomal RNA is filed under the name uncultured bacterium. Its description in RNAcentral is "partial 16S ribosomal RNA". It matches the Rfam family "Bacterial small subunit ribosomal RNA", at positions 29 to 523 of the family's 1533-position model. The record is from RNAcentral.
AGCGAACGCUGGCGGCGUGCUUAACACAUGCAAGUCGAACGAGAACGGAUUAUAGCUUGCUAUAAUUGUCAGCUAAGUGGCGCACGGGUGAGUAAUGUAUAGGUAAUAUGCCUCUUACUAAGGGAUAACAAAUGGAAACGUUUGCUAAUACCUUAUACUCCUUAUUAACAUAAGUUAAUAAGGGAAAGAUUUAUUGGUAAGAGAUUAGCCUGUAUUGUAUCAGUUAGUUGGUGGGGUAAUGGCUUACCAAGACUAUGACACAUAACUGGUUUGAGAGGAUGAUCAGUCACACUGGAACUGAGACACGGUCCAGACUCCUACGGGAGGCAGCAGUGGGGAAUAUUGCACAAUGGAUGGAAGUCUGAUGCAGCAACGCCGCGUGGAGGAUGACACAUUUCGGUGCGUAAACUCCUUUUAUAUGAGAAGAUAAUGACGGUAUUAUAUGAAUAAGCACCGGCUAACUCCGUGCCAGCCGCCGCCGUAA